ACGGUCCUAAGGUAGCGAAAUUCCUUGUCAGGUAAGUUCUGACCCGCACGAAAGGUGUAACGAUUUGGGCGCUGUCUCGGCAGCAGACUCGGUGAAAUCUUAGUACCUGUGAAAAUGCAGGUUACCCGCAACUAGACGGAAAGACCCCAUGGAGCUUUACUGCAGCCUGAUAUUGAAUUCUGGUCAUACAUGUACAGGAUAGGUGGGAGACAAAGAGACGUGCACGCCAGUGUACGAGGAGUCGACGUUGGGAUACCACUCUUGUGUGACCGGGGUUCUAACCUGGUAUCGAGAACAGGUACGGGGAGAGUGUCAGGUGGGCAGUUUGACUGGGGCGGUCGCCUCCCAAAGAGUAACGGAGGCGCCCAAAGGUACGCUCAGAUUGGAUGGAAACCAAUCGUCGAGUGCAAUUGCAGAAGCGUGCUUGACUGUGAGACAGACAAGUCGAACAGGGACGAAAGUCGGGAAUAGUGAUCCGGCGGUGCCGAAUGGAAGGGCCGUCGCUCAACGGAUAAAAGCUACCCUGGGGAUAACAGGCUGAUCUCGCCCAAGAGUUCACAUCGACGGCGAGGUUUGGCACCUCGAUGUCGGCUCAUCGCAUCCUGGAGCUGGAUUCGGUUCCAAGGGUUGGGCUGUCCGCCCAUUAAAGCGGUACGCGAGCUGGGUUCAGAACGUCGUGAGACAGUUCGGUCCCUAUCUGUUGUGGGCGAAGGAGAUCUGCGGAGAGCUGUCCUCAGUACGAGAGGACCGGGAUGGACCUACCGCUGGUGCACCGGUUGUUCCGCCAGGGGCAUAGCCGGGUAGCUAAGUAGGGAAAGGAUAAGCGCUGAAAGCAUCUAAGCACGAAGCCUACUCCAAGAUGAGAUCUCCCAUUCGCAAGAAGUAAGACCCCUUAAAGACGAUAAGGUAGAUAGGCCAGGGAUGGAAGUGCAGUGAUGUACGGAGUUGACUGGUACUAAUCGGUCGAGGACUUAAUCAG
Molecule: ribosomal RNA, 979 nt
Filed under: human gut metagenome
Description: bacterial LSU rRNA
Rfam family: Bacterial large subunit ribosomal RNA
Source: RNAcentral